Non-coding RNA from Angiostrongylus cantonensis (rat lungworm), 46 nucleotides. Lineage: Eukaryota; Metazoa; Nematoda; Chromadorea; Rhabditida; Metastrongylidae. The record is from Rfam.
CCAACGGCCCUCUUUAGGGCCACAACCAUUGUUGAAUACAUUAACU